UAUGUGAUCGUCUCUCGCAUAUCAAUAAGCGGAGGAAAAGAAACUAACAAGGAUUCCCCUAGUAACGGCGAGUGAAGCGGGAAGAGCUCAAAUUUGAAAUCUUAAAGGGUUUCCCUUUACGAAUUGUAGUUUAAAGAAGUGUUUUCUGUUGAGGUUUUGGUAAAAGUUCUUUGGAAUAGGACAUCAUAGAGGGUGAGAAUCCCGUAUUUGACCUUUACUUUCAACUUUGUGAUACACUUUCAAAGAGUCGGAUUGUUUGGGAAUGCAGUCCAAAAUGGGUGGUAAAUUUCAUCUAAAGCUAAAUAUUGGCGAGAGACCGAUAGCGAACAAGUACCGUGAGGGAAAGAUGAAAAGAACUUUGAAAAGAGAGUUAAACAGUACGUGAAAUUGUCAAAAGGGAAGCGUUUGACACCAGUGUUGUUUUUCUGAAAAUCAAUUAAAGAACUGUUUAUGCUAAGUUGUUUAGACUUUAUCAGCUAUCUGUUUAGUUUUGAGCUUUUCUUUAAUGCACUUUUCAGUUAACAAGUCAACAUCAAUUUCUUUUGCUGUAAAAAAGCUUGAGGAAGGUGGCUUGAGAUUCGUCCUUAAGUGUUUAUAGCCUCUUGCCUAUGCAGUCGGAGAGAUAGAGGUCUGCAGCGUAGAUCCUUCGGGGCUAAAUGCAUUUGUGCUAAGUUAUAGCAUUUUAUAGACAACUUGUUGACUAUGAUUUGUCUUGUAGCUUACUCGCUUAUGUUAUUUUACCUACGCUUAGGAUGUUGACACACGCGCGUGCUCG
RNAcentral lists this ribosomal RNA (775 nucleotides) under uncultured Neocallimastigales. Its description in RNAcentral is "partial large subunit ribosomal RNA". It matches the Rfam family "Eukaryotic large subunit ribosomal RNA", at positions 24 to 643 of the family's 3401-position model. The record is from RNAcentral. Lineage: Eukaryota; Fungi; Neocallimastigomycota; Neocallimastigomycetes; Neocallimastigales.